Molecule: ribosomal RNA, 497 nt
Filed under: uncultured bacterium
Lineage: Bacteria
Description: partial 16S ribosomal RNA
Rfam family: Bacterial small subunit ribosomal RNA
Source: RNAcentral
GACGAACGCUGGCGGCGUGCCUAAUACAUGCAAGUUGAGCGCUGAAGGUUGGUACUUGUACCGACUGGAUGAGCAGCGAACGGGUGAGUAACGCGUGGGGAAUCUGCCUUUGAGCGGGGGACAACAUUUGGAAACGAAUGCUAAUACCGCAUAAAAACUUUAAACACAAGUUUUAAGAUUGAAAGAUGCAAUUGCAUCACUCAAAGAUGAUCCCGCGUUGUAUUAGCUAGGUGGUGAGGUAAAGGCUCACCAAGGCGAAGAUACAUAGCCGACCUGAGAGGGUGGUCGGCCACAUUGGGACUGGGACCCGGCCCAAACUCCUACCGGAGGCAGCAGUAGGGAAUCUUCGGCAAUGGGCGGAAGUCUGACCGGGCAACGCCGCGUGAGUGGAGAAGGUUUUCGGAUCGUAAAACUCUGUUGGUAGGGAAGAACGUUGGUGAGAGUGGAAAGCUCAUCAAGUGACGGUAACUACCCAGAAAGCGACGGCUAACUACGUG